This is a long non-coding RNA of Cyprinus carpio (common carp), 996 nucleotides long. RefSeq lists it as uncharacterized. The transcript is spliced from 2 exons. The record is from RefSeq and is a predicted model, not a curated record. NCBI's taxonomy places the organism in Eukaryota, Metazoa, Chordata, Actinopteri, Cypriniformes, Cyprinidae.
GAUUAUGGAGACUACAUCAAGACUCAAUUUCAAGAUCUGAACAUGAAGAAGGGAGUGAAGGAGAUCUAUGCCCACAUGACCUGUGCCACGGACACAAAGAACGUCGAGAUCGUGUUUAACGCUGUGACAGACAUUAUCAUAAAAGAAAACCUUAAGGACUGUGGUCUGUUCUAAACACAAUCUACGUUUUCAAAGAUCUUUCUUCCCCACCAGCAUGAUUGGAUUUACUCUGGUGAAGUUGCUACAGUUACAAAAGAACAUCCACAAGUGGCACAAAGGUGAACUCUACAGCAAGCAGUCAAGUGUGGUCAGCGGAUCCCCGGCCAAAGAACAACCUCAAAAACUUUACCAAACCUCAGAGACUAGAUCCAGAUUAGACUAAUGGACUCUGCCCUGUCAAACCACUAGUACAGACAACGAGAGAAGGAUUACCAAAGAAAGGGGACUUUUGUUGCUUUGAGUUAUUGAUGCUUGUGGAGACGCUUCCUCUCAAUGUGUUUAAUGUUAAACCUAUAGAGGUUUGACUAUUAGAUGUUUUUUUCCAUUCAUUUCCAGAAAAAAGAAAUUAAUGCAAUUAAAUGUUGCUGUAUUAAAGAAAUUGAAGUGGGACCCCAUCAGAUCCCAUGGUAGCAAUUAGAAACAUUCUUAUAUGUACAGCAUCUGGUUUCCUUUUGAGAGAGUUCAAACUUCAGCAAGACGUGAUUGUUUGAACUCUGCCAGCUCACACAAUAUAUGAAAGACAUUUCUUUUUCAGCCCCAAAUACAGUAGGGCAGUAUGUUUUGUAAAUAAGAGUAGGAAAAAAUCUGUUUCAAAAAAAGAUUCAAUAUAAAAUAUAUAUGGAGACAUAAAUCUAUAUAUUUAUGUUACAGUAUUACAGUAACAAGUGAAAAUUCUAGAAUGGCCUGUUGCUUUGUUUAAAACCCGAGGUCUGAAUUUGUGGAGAUGUUCUGGAAUGUAAAUGUAGGCACAUGAAAUAAAGACUUGCAUCAAUUUCA